This is a transfer RNA of Coprinopsis cinerea okayama7#130, 105 nucleotides long. It matches the Rfam family "tRNA". Rfam says of the family: Transfer RNA (tRNA) molecules are approximately 80 nucleotides in length. Their secondary structure includes four short double-helical elements and three loops (D, anti-codon, and T loops). Lineage: Eukaryota; Fungi; Basidiomycota; Agaricomycetes; Agaricales; Psathyrellaceae. The record is from Rfam.
GGGCGCUUGGCGCAGUUGGUAGCGCGUCUGCUUUGCAUCGUCUCAAGCUUGGCUUUGGAUAGCAAAAUUUGCAUAAGGUCAUGGGUUCAAAUCCCAUAGCGUCCA